GGUCUGAUGCCACGUCUCUGGUAGCUAUAAGCUCUGACCAAAGAUGCUAUGAUUGGACCAAAAUCAAGAGUGCUUGUCAUUUAUUUCAUAUCCUGAUAGGAAUCUGCGUAUCCAAUAACAAUGAUUUUGCAGUGCCGAUUUUUGUGAUUACAUUU
Molecule: non-coding RNA, 155 nt
Organism: Cicer arietinum (chickpea)
Lineage: Eukaryota; Viridiplantae; Streptophyta; Magnoliopsida; Fabales; Fabaceae
Source: Rfam